RNAcentral lists this ribosomal RNA (387 nucleotides) under Goeppertia marantifolia. RNAcentral's name for it is "eukaryotic LSU rRNA". The stretch from base 285 to 387 matches the Rfam family "Eukaryotic large subunit ribosomal RNA", at positions 1 to 103 of the family's 3401-position model. Lineage: Eukaryota; Viridiplantae; Streptophyta; Magnoliopsida; Zingiberales; Marantaceae. The record is from RNAcentral.
UCUUUGAACGCAAGUUGCGCCCGAGGUUUUCCCGCCGAGGGCACGCCUGCCUGGGCGUCACGCCAUCGUCGCUCCGCGCCCCCUCGCCCCCACGCACGAGUGGCGGUGUCGGACGCAGACAUUGGCCCCCUGCGCCCUCGGGCGUGGUCGGCCGAAGAGAGGGGCCGUCGCUGGUGGUCGGACACGACGGAUGGUGGCCACGAGCAAGCCGGACGUCGUGCCCCCGCCGUGGAGAUGAGCUCCGGAGGACCCCCCACCCCCGCAUAAUCGUUUGCCUCGGAUUGCGACCUCAGGUCAGGCGGGGCUACCCGCUGAGUUUAAGCAUAUAAAUAAGCGGAGGAGAAGAAACUUACGAGGAUUCCUAUAGUAACGGCGAGCGAAUCGGGA